GGCCAGACUCCUACGGGAGGCAGCAGUGAGGAAUAUUGGUCAAUGGGCGGAAGCCUGAACCAGCCAAGUCGCGUGAGGGAAGAAGGCCCUGCGGGUCGCAGACCUCUUUGGACGGGGAGCAAGGCCGCCGACGUGUCGGCGGAAGGAGAGUACCCGUAGAACAAGCAUCGGCUAACUCCGUGCCAGCAGCCGCGGUAAUACGGAGGAUGCGAGCGUUAUCCGGAUUUAUUGGGUUUAAAGGGAGCGUAGAUGGGUUGUUAAGUCAGUUGUGAAAGUUUGCGGCUCAACCGUAAAAUUGCAAUUGAUACUGGCAGUCUUGAGUACAGUUGAGGUAGGCGGAAUUCGUGGUGUAGCGGUGAAAUGCUUAGAUAUCACGAAGAACCCCGAUUGCGAAGGCAGCUUACCGGCUCCACACUGACGCUGAGGCACGAAAGCGUGGGUAUCGAACAGGAUUAGAUACCCUGGUAGC
RNAcentral lists this ribosomal RNA (469 nucleotides) under uncultured bacterium. Its description in RNAcentral is "partial 16S ribosomal RNA". It matches the Rfam family "Bacterial small subunit ribosomal RNA", at positions 329 to 794 of the family's 1533-position model. The record is from RNAcentral.